Micropterus salmoides (largemouth bass) is the source of this 577-nucleotide long non-coding RNA. RefSeq lists it as uncharacterized. NCBI's taxonomy places the organism in Eukaryota, Metazoa, Chordata, Actinopteri, Centrarchiformes, Centrarchidae. The record is from RefSeq and is a predicted model, not a curated record. The transcript has 3 exons.
UGGUUUCUGAAGACUUCCUUUAGUGAGAAGCAGAUUAACUUUGUGCUUGUUGGAGUUUCUACAGGAAGAUGAAGAUGUUUGUGGUGUUUGUGAUCCUCGUGCACGUUUCCCAGCAUGCCUCAGCUGUGGAGCUGUAUGAGGGGGAGGAGUUUGUCCUGCUGCCCUGUGAUUAUCACACCUUUGAUGGACGACCCCACAGUGGUGUGGAGCCGCUACGAUCUCGAUCCUCCAACCGUCCACCAGCGUCAGCAGGAAGGUGAUGAACUUAAAGACCAAAACCAGCUUUACAGCGGCCGAACAUCCAUGAUGACUGACGCUCUGGAAACUGGAGACCUCAGCCUCAAGCUGACAAAACUCCAGCUCUCUGACAGCGGCAGCUACACCUGCACCGUCAGAGUGUUGGAGAUCAAGACAGAGUGACAGAGAUACAGCUGCAGGUCAAAGAACGAUUUCCAUCCUGGGCCAAAGUUCUCCUGGUUCUCCUGGUUCUCCUGGUUGUUGGUCUUGUUGCUGGGGGUCUUCUGGUACAUUUCCGGCAGUAUUUCAUGUCAGGUAUGUCACUACUGCUACACCUCCA